GAUGAACGCUGGCGGCGUGCCUAAUACAUGCAAGUCGAGCGAACGGGCGAGAAGCUUGCUUCUUUGAUGUUAGCGGCGGACGGGUGAGUAACACGUGGAUAACCUACCUAUAAGACUGGGAUAACUUCGGGAAACCGUAGCUAAUACCGGAUAAUAUUUUGAACCGCAUGGUUCAAAAGUGAAAGACGGUCAUGCUGUCACUUAUAGAUGGAUCCGCGCUGCAUUAGCUAGUUGGUAAGGUAACGGCUUACCAAGGCAACGAUGCAUAGCCGACCUGAGAGGGUGAUCGGCCACACUGGAACUGAGACACGGUCCAGACUCCUACGGGAGGCAGCAGUAGGGAAUCUUCCGCAAUGGGCGAAAGCCUGACGGAGCAACGCCGCGUGAGUGAUGAAGGUCUUCGGAUCGUAAAACUCUGUUAUUAGGGAAGAACAUAUGUGUAAGUAACUGUGCACAUCUUGACGGUACCUAAUCAGAAAGCCACGGCUAACUACGUG
This 497-nucleotide ribosomal RNA is filed under the name uncultured bacterium. RNAcentral describes it as "partial 16S ribosomal RNA". It matches the Rfam family "Bacterial small subunit ribosomal RNA", at positions 28 to 507 of the family's 1533-position model. The record is from RNAcentral.